UACGGGGGGGCAAGCGUUGUUCGGAAUUACUGGGCGUAAAGGGUUUGUAGGUGGCUCGCUAAGUCACACGUGAAAUCCCUCAGCUUAACUGGGGAACUGCGUGUGAGACUGGCAAGCUUGAGGACAGGAGAGGAACGCGGAAUUCCAGGUGUAGCGGUGAAAUGCGUAGAUAUCUGGAGGAACACCGGUGGCGAAGGCGGCGUUCUGGACUGUUACUGACACUGAGAAACGAAAGCCAGGGGAGCAAACGGG
Molecule: ribosomal RNA, 252 nt
Filed under: uncultured bacterium
Lineage: Bacteria
Description: partial 16S ribosomal RNA
Rfam family: Bacterial small subunit ribosomal RNA
Source: RNAcentral